This 246-nucleotide long non-coding RNA is filed under the name Citrus maxima (pomelo). RNAcentral's name for it is "long non-coding RNA (CMAX_LNC004133)". The record is from RNAcentral. Lineage: Eukaryota; Viridiplantae; Streptophyta; Magnoliopsida; Sapindales; Rutaceae.
CUUAGUUCUGCCAUAGAUAACACAUGGGAUCAAGUUGUUAUUGUUGGGAGAAGUUUUGAAGGUAAGUUUUAAUUCUUGGUUUUUAUUAAAUUGUUGUGGAGAAGCAUGAUUGCAAUAGAAGUAGAAACCUAAGAUUUUGCAGAAAUAUGCUGACAGUGAAUUAUUACGAAAAUCAUAGUAAUUUGUACAAAUUGAUUUUGAUUCUGAUGUUUGGAUAUGUUAAACUACACAUUGUCUAGAAUGUUU